AUGUGAUCGUCUCUCGCAUAUCAAUAAGCGGAGGAAAAGAAACUAACAAGGAUUCCCCUAGUAACGGCGAGUGAAGCGGGAAGAGCUCAAAUUUGAAAUCUUAAAGGGUUUCCCUUUACGAAUUGUAGUUUAAAGAAGUGUUUUCUGUUGAGGUUUUGGUAAAAGUUCUUUGGAAUAGGACAUCAUAGAGGGUGAGAAUCCCGUAUUUGACCUUUACUUUCAACUUUGUGAUACACUUUCAAAGAGUCGGAUUGUUUGGGAAUGCAGUCCAAAAUGGGUGGUAAAUUUCAUCUAAAGCUAAAUAUUGGCGAGAGACCGAUAGCGAACAAGUACCGUGAGGGAAAGAUGAAAAGAACUUUGAAAAGAGAGUUAAACAGUACGUGAAAUUGUCAAAAGGGAAGCGUUUGACACCAGUGUUGUUUUUCUGAAAAUCAAUUAAGGAACUGUUUAUGCUAAGCUGUUAGACUUUAUCAGCUAUCUGUUUAGUUUUGAGCUUUUCUUUAAUGCACUUUUCAGUUAACAAGUCAACAUCAAUUUCUUUUGCUGUAAAAAAGCUUGAGGAAGGUGGCUUGAGAUUCGUCGUCUUAAGUGUUUAUAGCCUCUUGCCUAUGCAGUCGGAGAGAUUGAGGUCUGCAGCGUAGAUCCUUCGGGGCUAAAUGCAUUUGUGCUAAGUUAUAGCAUUUUAUAGACAACUUGUUGACUAUGAUUUGUCUUGUAGCUUACUCGCUUAUGUUAUUUUACCUACGCUUAGGAUGUUGAGUAGCGACAUACGCAC
Molecule: ribosomal RNA, 775 nt
Filed under: uncultured Neocallimastigales
Lineage: Eukaryota; Fungi; Neocallimastigomycota; Neocallimastigomycetes; Neocallimastigales
Description: partial large subunit ribosomal RNA
Rfam family: Eukaryotic large subunit ribosomal RNA
Source: RNAcentral